Molecule: transfer RNA, 70 nt
Filed under: Pseudophoraspis clavellata
Lineage: Eukaryota; Metazoa; Arthropoda; Insecta; Blattodea; Blaberidae
Description: tRNA-Val
Source: RNAcentral
CAAAUUAUCUAAUUUAGUUUAGAAUUUCAUUUACGCUGAAAAGUUGAUCGUGCAAUUCGAUAUAAUUUGA